Molecule: long non-coding RNA, 501 nt
Organism: Poecilia reticulata (guppy)
Lineage: Eukaryota; Metazoa; Chordata; Actinopteri; Cyprinodontiformes; Poeciliidae
Source: RefSeq, a predicted model, not a curated record
CAUUCCUAGAGUUUCAACUGAGGUGAGGAGCGGCCAUAUUGGAUCUCGAAGAAAGCGCUACAGGAACUCCCAAAUGGGAAAAGAUGCAGAGCCGCACAUGUCCAGCAGGGGGCAGUCUGGACUGGAGGUCCAGAUCCGAUUCAGAUCUUUUCGGAUUUCAGGCAUUUCUGUUCUCCAAACUCCCAACUGCAGCUGAGGCGGAGGCUUACUGGUCGGUUUUCACCCACAGACUCCAGACUGGGACAUGUCUGCUCAGAAGCAUCUCUGAGUGGCUUUAUGGACGAAGAAAGACGUCCAGAGGAAGUCCUCUCUGCAGUGGGCACAGCAAAGAUUUAGAAGAAGAUGUAAUGAAGGGUGUUUUCACCUUAAGGUCCAGUUGCAGAUAAUGUGGUUCACUUUCACACUCCACUGAAUCAAAACCCUUUGGAAAAACAGUUCCCCUCCUCGCCUGUGGUGGCGCUGCACCAAGAACUACUGAAUGAAACAACAGAAAAACGUCUG